RNAcentral lists this ribosomal RNA (253 nucleotides) under uncultured bacterium. RNAcentral describes it as "partial 16S ribosomal RNA". It matches the Rfam family "Bacterial small subunit ribosomal RNA", at positions 524 to 776 of the family's 1533-position model. The record is from RNAcentral.
UACGUAGGGAGCAAACGUUGCUCGGAAUUAUUGGGCGUAAAGCGCACGUAGGCGGCUUUGCAAGUCGGAUGUGAAAUCCCUCGGCUUAACCAAGGAAGUGCAUCCGAAACUGCAGAGCUUGAGUACUUAAGAGGAUCGCGGAAUUCCCGGUGUAGAGGUGAAAUUCGUAGAUAUCGGGAGGAACACCAGUGGCGAAGGCGGCGAUCUGGGAAGAUACUGACGCUGAGGUGCGAAAGCGUGGGGAGCAAACAGG